UUGAACAUAAUGUUCCAGCAUGUGUGCUGCAACAUCUGGUCUUUGACAACAUACCAAUGUUAUUGUAGUUUUGUUGAAGAAGGAACGCAUGUGGAACACAAUGUUCCAACAUAUGUGAAACAGAUGGGCUUGGUUAAACAUGUCAAUGUUGUUAUAUUUUUGAUCCAAAUUCUGGUUGAUAUUCAAUCAUGUUUGUUGCUAUAUUUUAGCAAUGCGUUUGUGUGAUUUAUUUUGACAGUUGUUGAAGAUCAAAUCAAUUUAAAUGGAGAUUUAAAUUUG
RNAcentral lists this long non-coding RNA (279 nucleotides) under Lathyrus oleraceus (garden pea). RNAcentral's name for it is "Pisum sativum (pea) long non-coding RNA (PSAT_LNC010602)". The record is from RNAcentral. Lineage: Eukaryota; Viridiplantae; Streptophyta; Magnoliopsida; Fabales; Fabaceae.